UUGACCUCAAAUCAGGUAGGACUACCCGCUGAACUUAAGCAUAUCAAUAAGCGGAGGAAAAGAAACUAACAAGGAUUCCCUUAGUAACUGCGAGUGAAGAGGGAAGAGCUCAAAUUUAAAAUCUGGCAGUGUUUUGCUGUCCGAGUUGUAAUCUAGAGAAGGCGC
RNAcentral lists this ribosomal RNA (165 nucleotides) under Amanita muscaria (fly agaric). RNAcentral describes it as "partial 28S ribosomal RNA". It matches the Rfam family "Eukaryotic large subunit ribosomal RNA", at positions 1 to 162 of the family's 3401-position model. The record is from RNAcentral. Lineage: Eukaryota; Fungi; Basidiomycota; Agaricomycetes; Agaricales; Amanitaceae.